CUUUAAUAACCGCCACGUCGACAACGCAAGAUAACUGAGCUUCGCGCUGACGUCACGUGAUUAGCGACGUCGUUACUAACAGUUGUCUUCCCCACACUACAGACAGUGACAACCUAACGACGACGUCUGUCGAGAUCUUAAACAAAGCGGUCUACCAAUCACGAUGACUAAACAAAUACGGUUGUACCUAGCUGUCGUCUGCUUGCUGCUUUCCAUAAACCUGGAAGCCGGAUACAUCCACCACCACCGACACCGUCGGGCUGAACAACGACCAUGCAACGAGAUCGGCCAGUCAUGUGCAGCGUUACCUUGUUGCGGUUCAGAUGUUCAAUGCGACAAAAAUCAGAUCUGCCGGCACUAUGUCAGACGGAGGUAGAUGGACGGACCUUCUCAGAAUACAAACGGACUAAUGUCACCUGCUACCAAUGAGUAUUGGAUGCUGGAUGUACCCAACAGUAACAACAACAGGGUGCGUCUGCCUACUGUCCGAUUCUGUGAUGUCAACUAAUAAUAGGAAGUCAUCGCACGAGUAUAAGAUCACCGAGUUCAAAGGUGUCUCUAAAUUUAUUGUAUUUUCAUGCAUUUAAAGGUUUUCACUGUAUUUCUCGAUUGCUGUGUUUGUUCAAGAAAUUCAACAAUAAAAUAAAUUUCUACUAAAAGCAAA
Molecule: long non-coding RNA, 664 nt
Filed under: Pomacea canaliculata
Lineage: Eukaryota; Metazoa; Mollusca; Gastropoda; Architaenioglossa; Ampullariidae
Description: uncharacterized LOC112556242, transcript variant X5
Source: RNAcentral